Galleria mellonella (greater wax moth) is the source of this 1637-nucleotide long non-coding RNA. RefSeq lists it as uncharacterized. The record is from RefSeq and is a predicted model, not a curated record. Lineage: Eukaryota; Metazoa; Arthropoda; Insecta; Lepidoptera; Pyralidae. The transcript has 4 exons.
AAAUGAAACCAAAUCACUGUUAUUAGUAACAAACGAAAUCAAUUCGUUCGGAUGCCAUUGUUUGUGUUUAUAUGUGUUUCAAUAAAUCGAUUGUGCAAUCAUUCUUUAUACUUGUGUUGUCAAUCGAUGAUCGAGUACCUUUUGUGGGUCAUCAAAUCGAUUGUUUUUCGUAUUAUCGUUAAUCCCAACAAUAUGUAUACGGUAUUCGUUGUGAGUGCAUCGAACUGCUGAGUCAAAAUUGUCCGAAGACAUAUUAUCGGAUACUCGUAAAUCAUUCAAGCUAUUAGUGGGGGCAGCUUCGGCGAAUGUGUCAGGUGUCACUGUAUCUGUUUAAACAGGGGUCCGGCCGGCGAGCCCCCGGCGGCCCUCAGUAGAUCCGACCGGUGGCGGCGCGAACAUUCGCGGCACGUCCUUUGUUGGCCGUUUUGUUUUUGGAAUACCAUCCGGUUCCUGGUAGUGGGGAGGGGGACAGGUGAUCGCAGGUAGCGCGCGCGGCGGCUGCCAGUCCACCUCGAGGCGUCGGGCUGCGCGCGCGCCUCGCCCGUUGAUAAAUAGAAUCAAAUAUGGAAAUGGCCAGUCAUUCCGCGACAGGUGCGCGACCGCGGCGUUCGUGCACGUGUGCUGUUUGUGAGUGCGCCACCGCUGCCACAGUCAUCACGAUGUUCAGCCGCUGGUAAGUCGUCCAACUCUUAGUGAAACGCUUUCCAACUUUGAGACCGGCUGGUUUUUGUCGUUUCUGUAAUAACAGCGUCGGUUGCUCACGCGCAUCUGCCGUUCCGUUUCGAUGCAGCUGCCGGCCUUUGAAUAGAUAUAUUUAAUCGAGGAUUUCAAUGGUUAUAUGGAAUUAUUAAGAUUUUGAUCGCAAUAAAAUCAAAGCAAAGGAACUCUACCAUCGUGUACCUCAAUGAUUUCAUUUAAAAUGACCUCGGUUUAGGUAAUGGUGAGAGUUUAGUCCUGGAUCGAAUAAUUAGGUAUGUAACUUUUUGAAUAACACCUUAUUUUUGCAGCGUGUCCAAUAUUGAAUAAUAAAUAAAAACGGACAAAUUUAUGUAACACUGCUAUUUAUGACUUAUUUUAACAGAAUAUUCAAUUUUUAAUAAAAAAAAUACAUAUCGCUACUGCUUGUUGCCACGGUUUCCACGUGUGAGAUAGCAUAAGUAAAUUUUAUUCACAAAAUGUAGGAACCAAUUGCUUCUAUUGUAAACUGAGCGUUAUAUCCCACACUUUAGGUGCUUAUAUGCUUGUUAAAUUGUUCACCUACGGUUAUAAGAUGACAAGAAGAAUUUAUAACCUCGUAACGGUGACCUCUGGCCCCGCAGCGUAACGUUCCAACUUGUUACUCCAUUCAUGAAGUGUAAUUUUUUUCAAUUGAUUGUUAUCUUACGUUACUUAUUGUUAUUACUUCAGAAAUCGUAGUUUAUCGUGCUUGUUUAUAUAUUAUACUAGCUUUUUGUCCAAUACUUUGUAUGCGUGGCAAAAUUAAUGAAACAUACUUUCAGAUGGCGUAUUAACACUUUAUUGACCCGGAAUUCCGGCGUGGUUGAAAUUUUUGAAAUAAACUAAAAUUAGGAUAAAAAUCUAAAUACAAGGAAAAGUAUUUUUUUGGUUAUGAACGCUUUGUAAUCCAAACGGUGUUG